Scophthalmus maximus (turbot) is the source of this 2782-nucleotide long non-coding RNA. RefSeq lists it as uncharacterized. The record is from RefSeq and is a predicted model, not a curated record. NCBI's taxonomy places the organism in Eukaryota, Metazoa, Chordata, Actinopteri, Pleuronectiformes, Scophthalmidae. The transcript has 4 exons.
AGCGCAUUGGUCAAGCUGGGUGAUUGACACAUCUAUAGAACCGUCAGAGCCAGUAGAAUCAACGGACAGCAUCAAAAUCCCUCCCAAGCACACCAUUCGCUAUCUGUGAGGGGGCGAAUCCACUGUGACGCCUUUUUCCCCCGCCGCCGUUUGACGUGUAACUUCCGCAUCGAAGUGUGACGGACCAGGCCGAUUUAAUAUCUUGAAAUGAGGAGCGGCCUUUGUGCUCGCUAACGGCAUCGCAUUUCUGGAUCAAAACACAACUUUUUCCUGCAAAUACUUCCACGGCCAAGUUCGGGGCUGGUGCCAGGACUUUAGGGGCAUAGAUCCUGGAAGCUGUCUGGUGUGGCGAGUAAUGCUGACUGAGCAAUGGUUGGAGGUGAAUAGUCCACGCCACUGACCUGAAACACUGGGACAUCACCGACGUCCUUACACAAGAGAAACGAAUGGCAGGUUAGCCACACCUCUGGAAGCCUAGAACCCACUGGUAAAAAGAGUCUUAAAUGAAGCAAACCCCUGUGGAGAAGCUAGCCCAAAGCCUUUGAGAUCAGUGAAAGAAGAUGCUGUUAUACCACUUGGAUUUUCCCCUGAAGUCUUCAAGAAAUAAGUCAAGCAUUUCGACCAUCCCUUCCUAACUUGUAUAUGUGCAUUUACUUUAGACCAGCGGAAGACUGAAGGUGGAUACUGUUGACACUGGUUCCAGUUAUUAUUGCCGGAAUCUUCUCUCUAUAUCACAUGAAUCUAUACUUUGCAAGGUGACUUUGUGUGAAACGUAAUAAGUGUGUGUAACUCUCACAUGUUCGAGGGACUGCAGUAUUUAUCAUGUUUAUUUCAAUUGUUGUAUCAAUCAAUAUGCAAUUUUAUGAGGCAAUUGCCUUUACAAGUGUAAAGUAAAAACAGAAAAUAGGCCAAACGUGGUCAAAAAACUGUUGUUAUAAUAUGACUAUUGUUGUUAUAUUUCUGUACAAUUUUGACAGUAACCAUGAAUCUAUAAAACCAGAGAUUCCUGAAAAACUAAAACAAACAAAAAAAACUACAACCUGAAAAACAGAGAAAGGAGAGACCAGAGUGGAGGACCAGAUAUAUGGAAGCAUUUUCACAACCAGCUGAUCAGGCACAGCAUAUUAGACAAUGUGUAGAAGAGGACUUGGCGACCCGUGUCCCCCACCUUUCAAAUCCCAUCUCCCUCAAUGAAAUCAGGUGUCAAAGUUUGCAGAGGAUGUAGUGAAAACAAGCCAAACUGGAUCACGUCUGGAGCUGUCACAGCUGUUGAGAGGGGCAGUAAAAUAACCUAAUAAAGAAGAGAGACUUGUCUUCAGUUCAGUGUGGACAGCCGGGCAGAAACACUUUACAAUGUCAUCAGUGCAUGAGAUCGUUAACUAGUAAACCCCUUUUCAACAUCUUUAAGGCACAACGGUAAUUCUGUGUUGUGUGUGUAGAACGAUUUGAGAAGCAGUAUAUAAAGUGUUAUAUUAUUAUAAAAUUCAGAUGGCAAAUGGUUGAUGUGAUAGAAAAUUCCCAAACAAAGCCUUUCAAAUACUGAUUUUACAUCAAGCGCUCUCCCAAAAAACUGUGAUGUAAUGAACUACAGUAUGACAUAACGACAAAAGCAGUUUCAUUAAUUCAUUCCUAAGAUUUCAGACCAAAAAGGGUUUGGUCCGAGUGUUGCUAGGAAAAAAACAUAUGCAGUUAUGAUUUGAGGAAUGAAAACAGCUUCUUUUGACAUAUUUUCUAAAAACUACAAGCUGAGUUUCUAAGACUUCACCAUUGUGUCAGUAGGACUGCAAAACAGCCCUGAAAUCAUACAUGAGGCCCGGGGUCCUCCAGAGAAAAAUAGUUUUUCCAGAAUAUUUUUAUCACUUUCUUUAACAUUGUGUUUUUUGACAUGUACGCCAAUUUCCUUGGGAAUAAUUAAUGUUGAUGAAAUCUUGAUGAAAAAAAUACUGAAACAUUAAGGGGACUGGUAUCUAUGAUGUGUGCAAUUUGAUGCGGCUUGAUUGAAUUUAAUGAGACUGUUGGCAGAGGUAUGCAAUCUCCUGAGUGCCAUUCUAGUUUGAAAUGUUUUAAUCUGUCUUUGCUGCAGAGCACUUCCAUUUGUUCAGUCAUAAACACUUAAAUCUAGAACAAGCAAUUUGUCAUAACUACAGUAAUGAGACUAAAACUUGUGUUCUCCAGGUAACUAUGUGACUACUGUGCUAUAUUUAUUAUCUGUCAUACAGUCACUCAAAGAAUAAGAUAAGAAGCAAGGGGAAAUACUGUGUACAGUAGACAUUACAAAUUCAAACACCUCUGCGAUAUAUCACAAAAAUGUUAUAUGAUUCCAAAUUGUGUAAUUACACAGUACAUGUAAUAUUUAGUGGGGUAGGGUGUCUUACAUAUAGGUUGGAUUAACUACACAGAGGUUUAAAAAAACAACAACUGACAACCAAGCUUGGCAGCAACGCUACAAUGAUUUUAAACACAGUGCAAAAAUCUUAAGAGUUUAAAAAAUAUAUAUUUCUACUACCUGACCAAGUGUGUCCCUGGACUCGAAUCCAAUAAAAUUUUCCUAAUGGGAAGGAAAAGUAUAAAAAAUCCUCCAGAAAAGAGUAUUACAUAGAUUUGUGAAAGACUUGUUUCAUGCAUAUCAUAAGAGGAUAAAAUAUGUCAUCAAAAAUAAAGGUGGGUGCACAAUAUUUAUAUAUACAGUAAUACGAGAAUAAUUUCACUAAUGAGAAAAACAGAUUUUUCUUGCUGCAGUUGUUUUCUUUAAUAAUGUUUCAUUAAAGUGUUGUUAGUCAAA